UCUCCGUUGGUGAACCAGCGGAGGGAUCAUUACCGAGUUUACAACUCCCAAACCCAAUGUGAACGUUACCAAACUGUUGCCUCGGCGGGGUCACGCCCCGGGUGCGUCGCAGCCCCGGAACCAGGCGCCCGCCGGAGGAACCAACCAAACUCUUUCCGUAGUCCCCUCGCGGACGUUAUUUCUUACAGCUCUGAGCAAAAAUUCAAAAUGAAUCAAAACUUUCAACAACGGAUCUCUUGGUUCUG
This 245-nucleotide unclassified non-coding RNA is filed under the name plant metagenome. Its description in RNAcentral is "partial contains small subunit ribosomal RNA, internal transcribed spacer 1, and 5.8S ribosomal RNA". The record is from RNAcentral.